RNAcentral lists this transfer RNA (71 nucleotides) under Osphronemus goramy (giant gourami). Its description in RNAcentral is "tRNA-Asp". It matches the Rfam family "tRNA". Rfam says of the family: Transfer RNA (tRNA) molecules are approximately 80 nucleotides in length. Their secondary structure includes four short double-helical elements and three loops (D, anti-codon, and T loops). Lineage: Eukaryota; Metazoa; Chordata; Actinopteri; Anabantiformes; Osphronemidae. The record is from RNAcentral.
GGGGUACUAGUAAAAUAACAUUACAUUGCCUUGUCAAGGCAAAAUUGCGAGUUAAAACCUCGCGUACCUUA